CGCAAGUCUGAUGGAGCAACGCCGCGUGAGUGAAGAAGGUUUUCGGAUCGUAAAGCUCUGUUGUUGGUGAAGAAGGAUAGAGGCAGUAACUGGUCUUUAUUUGACGGUAAUCAACCAGAAAGUCACGGCUAACUACGUGCCAGCAGCCGCGGUAAUACGUAGGUGGCAAGCGUUGUCCGGAUUUAUUGGGCGUAAAGCGAGCGCAGGCGGAAUGAUAAGUCUGAUGUGAAAGCCCACGGCUCAACCGUGGAACUGCAUCGGAAACUGUCAUUCUUGAGUGCAGAAGAGGAGAGUGGAAUUCCAUGUGUAGCGGUGGAAUGCGUAGAUAUAUGGAAGAACACCAGUGGCGAAGGCGGCUCUCUGGUCUGCAACUGACGCUGAGGCUCGAAAGCAUGGGUAGCGAACAGGAUUAGAUACCCUGGUAGUCCAUGCCGUAAACGAUGAGCGCUAGGUGUUGGGGACUUUCC
Molecule: ribosomal RNA, 467 nt
Filed under: Lactobacillus delbrueckii subsp. bulgaricus
Lineage: Bacteria; Bacillati; Bacillota; Bacilli; Lactobacillales; Lactobacillaceae
Description: bacterial SSU rRNA
Rfam family: Bacterial small subunit ribosomal RNA
Source: RNAcentral